CCAACCGCCACUGGAGUCAUCACGUGUCAUCACCACCGCACGAACACGCACACUGUCAGGGGGAAGCCAAGAGAGUGAGCAGAGGCCCAGGCUGAUUAAACAACGCACUGAUGUACACACACACACACACACACACAGAAGCAACUAAACAGACGAAAUCCACACAAAGAGGACGGAAGUGGCAGCUUGGCCUACGAGUGCUGGCGUUGCAACGUAAAGAGUUGCCAGUCAUAAGCAGGAAACGAACACAAUGUGUUCCAAGAGGGACUACAGGAUCCUGGUGUUGGUGCCGGUUUCAGCACCACGGACAGCAACAGCUCUACAUAAUAAGAAACGACAUAAAAACGACUUCAAACACGUGUAAUUCAGGGUUUGCCGACAUUUAUUGGUGAAUUAACGACCUCUGUUUGAAUAACGCUUUGCUCAGAUUAAGUAUAAAGUUGUGUUAUGUUUAUUUGUGUUUGCGUGAUUUAAAAAAAAACAUCAUCAUCAUCACACCGGAUAUUGCAUUCCUGUCGAGUCCUCGGGCAUUUUAUGGUGUGUAGUUGGAUAAAAGUCGGUGAAGUCAAAGUUCAAGCUUUAGAAAACCAUCAAGACACUCAGUAAUCUCACUGAGAUAUCGUGGGAAUAUGAUGUAACAUACGGCUCGUUGGUCUAGGGGUAUGAUUCUCGCUUAGGGUGCGAGAGGUCCCGGGUUCAAAUCCCGGACGAGCCCAGUUUUGUCUCCCACAGUCCGACAUGGAAAAGGUUUGAAGUAUCACAUGAACAAGUGUUUGACAUUGCUGCCACGUCUUUGUUUGAUGCAGCCAGGCCGUAUGAGUCCCAGUCCACUCGCUGGCCAUCAAACCUUGCUGUAUCUCUA
Scatophagus argus is the source of this 862-nucleotide long non-coding RNA. RefSeq lists it as uncharacterized. The record is from RefSeq and is a predicted model, not a curated record. NCBI's taxonomy places the organism in Eukaryota, Metazoa, Chordata, Actinopteri, Scatophagidae. The transcript has 3 exons.